AGUGAACGCUGGCGGUAGGCCUAACACAUGCAAGUCGAACGGCAGCACAGUAAGAGCUUGCCCUUACGGGUGGCGAGUGGCGGACGGGUGAGGAAUACAUCGGAAUCUACUUUUUCGUGGGGGAUAACGUAGGGAAACUUACGCUAAUACCGCAUACGACCUACGGGUGAAAGCAGGGGAUCUUCGGACCUUGCGCGAUUGAAUGAGCCGAUGUCGGAUUAGCUAGUUGGCGGGGUAAAGGCCCACCAAGGCGACGAUCCGUAGCUGGUCUGAGAGGAUGAUCAGCCACACUGGAACUGAGACACGGUCCAGACUCCUACGGGAGGCAGCAGUGGGGAAUAUUGGACAAUGGGCGCAAGCCUGAUCCAGCCAUACCGCGUGGGUGAAGAAGGCCUUCGGGUUGUAAAGCCCUUUUGUUGGGAAAGAAAAGCAGCAGGUUAAUACCCCGCUGUUCUGUCGGUACCCAAAGAAUAAGCACCGGCUAACUUCGUG
RNAcentral lists this ribosomal RNA (492 nucleotides) under uncultured bacterium. Its description in RNAcentral is "partial 16S ribosomal RNA". It matches the Rfam family "Bacterial small subunit ribosomal RNA", at positions 29 to 507 of the family's 1533-position model. The record is from RNAcentral.